This is a long non-coding RNA of Meriones unguiculatus (Mongolian gerbil), 314 nucleotides long. RefSeq lists it as uncharacterized. The transcript is spliced from 3 exons. The record is from RefSeq and is a predicted model, not a curated record. Lineage: Eukaryota; Metazoa; Chordata; Mammalia; Rodentia; Muridae.
CGGGACUUGACCGGAGAGGUGGGUCAACAGAAGCCAGCUGUUUGUUGGUCCAGAGUGGUGGCUCGAGCCUACCGUCCCAGCACUCGGCAGCAGGGGCUUGAGGGUCCGGGGGAGGCCCUGAGGCCGGGGAAUUGCGCCCACUCUGGCCUGGAGCGCAAGCUCUUCGUACAUCACACUACCCUGAGACAGGGUUUCUCUAUAUAACCCAAGCAGUCCUGGAACUCAUGUAUAUAGACCAGGAUGGCUUCAAACAUCUCAGGGAUCUUCCUGCCUCUACCUCCUGAAUGCUGGAAUUAAAUGCAUGUGUCACCUCA